AUCAUGUGACCACAGAGCGUCCACCCUCUCUCUAUAAAAACUGCUUUCUGCUGCCUCCUCAGUAUCAGAGAUCUUCAUGAAGCCAACAGACUCAGGAAACUCAGAAGAAACACGAACAACACAUGAUGAGCUACGAAGGUCGUGUACACUGCAGUAUGAAAGAACCUACCAAACGUGGUUGGUUUUUUAAUGAUAAAGCUGUCAGCUGCAGAGUCUGUCGGGUGAACUGUCACUAUCCAUGCACAGAGUGGUGGGGUGCAGCAAACUGUAAGGUCAUGAGAGAUGGCCGCUGCACUGUAUGUCCUCGGAAGUGUUCUGUAUCAAAACAUGACAAAGAUGAUUCUAUGUAUGUGAGGACAUGAGACAUGAGAGACAACUAUGAAAGCAUGUGGGAACUUUAGAAAAGCAAAUGGAAGAACUUCAGAAAGUCCUUCGAGCUUGUUGUCAAAGUGGAUAGAUGUGUCUUUUUCAUUCUAGUUCUAUGAAGUGUGAUGAUGAUGUCAUAAGUUCAUGAGGAAAUUCAAAUGUAAUCACCUUUUAAAUGUCAGAUGUGUACUUCGCGCCCUCUGUUGUGUGGAAUGACUGCUGCUCUUCUUGUACUUCCAUGUUUGCUCACCAAUAGUGAGUUCAGUGUGCAGAUUAACAUCAGUGCUGAAUCAUGGCAGCAGAUUUAUUUGGUGUUGAACAGCUGUUAGUUUUCUCUCUGGAUUCUUCCAUCAGCUCAUCGAUCAGCUUUUCUCCUCUCAUCAGAUGUCAUGGAUACACCUGGGACAGCUGCCAGCUCUGGUCUAAAGGAGUGAGGGCGCCCCCUGGUGUCUCAUGCUGAGUACAACAGCUCCCUCCCUCCCCCACAACACAAACUAAACACAGUCAGAUCCUGUUGGACUAAAUCCAUUUAUUUUUUCUCUUCUAAUCAUGUUUUCUCCACUAUGAUUGUGUUUGUGCUUGUAUGAAUAGACGUGUCUUAUAUAUCCACCAUGAUGUCACAAUGUUGAAGCUGUUGGGAAACUAAAGUGAACUCAUUAUAAAGGAGUUUAGCCUGGAGGGGGGUUGAAACCUCUUCCUGUGUUCUGAGAGUGUUAAUAAUAUAUCUUAAUAUCUUUCUCAAUAAUAAAGAAGAUUCCAGUUAAUGUGUGUUGUAUCAAAGUCCUAUAAGAGCUGAGGACAGACUGCCUCUCCUCAGUCACACCUGUGUAAUGCUGAUGAUGCUCUGACCUGCAAACAAUAAAGAUCUGCUGACAUUAUGAA
Molecule: long non-coding RNA, 1248 nt
Organism: Micropterus dolomieu (smallmouth bass)
Lineage: Eukaryota; Metazoa; Chordata; Actinopteri; Centrarchiformes; Centrarchidae
Exons: 2
Source: RefSeq, a predicted model, not a curated record